CACAGCCACCACAUUCCACCUUUCAGUGAAUCUGCAUUCCUGCACAUUGUUUAGAAACCAUCGUGGGGAUAGCACAGCGAUUUCUGCAGCAAAUAACACGGAUCCUCAUCCACGACAGACUUGCAUAAUCGUUUGCAUAGACCCCGUGAGCCGAAGCAUUUGGAGAAAUAUUGUUUAGUCCAGCAACGUGGUAACAGUCACUGCAUAAAUCAGUGAGUGAGUGGUUGUGAGGUUUUGGAGGUAGAAGUAAGCAGAAGAGACCCAUGGCCUCUUUUUAGAAGAAAUUACCUGAAUUCAAUCAGAAGUCAUUGCAGUGACCCAAAUGAACCCACUUCUUGCUCAGGCCUGCUACAUUAACCACAUUACUUUUUGGCCCUAGCAGCAAGGCUGGUUAGGGCCUAACUUAAAUCCCUUCCACAUUGUAAUUCUCUGCGAAGUGGAAUAAAUAGCACAUGGGCUCCGUCACCUGCUAAACAUAUGUCAUGGGGUGUAAAUUCAUUUAUUUGAACCUUAAUAUUAAAGGAGUUUCUUGAUUUUAAAUCAUCCGAUACCAAAGUAUGACUUCAAUCCAAAGCAGACAUGCCCUGGAGAGUUAAGAGACCUUUUCAAAGACAAAGGAGGCUUCUAACCUGCUCACAAUUAGCCAUUACAUGCUACUAGGGGUUGUUUAAUUGGGACUGCCACUCUCAAUUAACCAGCGACAAGUGAAUAGAAGAAUGAGUAAUCAGAAUUAGGUACACAUGUUACCAAUUAUGUCCAUUAGGGAGCGUAAUGAAAUUGCAUGUUUUGCUUUGCUUUUCCUUUCUUCUCUAGCUCCAAGAAGUUAUAUGAAAAAAAGUAGUGACGGGACCGAGCUCAAGCAUAAACUUUUUCCUUCUAAGUGUAAGAAAACCACGUACAUCGAAGCUCCUGCAGUUCUUCAUCAUUUGCUCGGCAGUGGAGCUGAUCAGAAUUCCCUCCGAUGCUCUUCAAGAUGUCCAGGUUUUCUGAAAGCCAUACAGAAAUAGAAAAGAUUUAAAUGUUCCUCUUAUGAAAAGGAUGCUGCCCAUCUAUAAAGGUAUUGUUCACAGUUAUUAUAGAAAAAUGUUAAACAAUCUAAACAUUUAGUAAUGAAAGACUACUUCCAUUAGUUAAAUAGUUAAAUACAAUAAACUAUUGUAUUUUCACA
Molecule: long non-coding RNA, 1168 nt
Filed under: Sus scrofa (pig)
Lineage: Eukaryota; Metazoa; Chordata; Mammalia; Artiodactyla; Suidae
Description: lncRNA (ENSSSCG00025065683.1)
Source: RNAcentral